AGUGAACGCUGGCGGUAGGCCUAACACAUGCAAGUCGAACGGCAGCACAGUAAGAGCUUGCUCUUACGGGUGGCGAGUGGCGGACGGGUGAGGAAUACAUCGGAAUCUACUUUUUCGUGGGGGAUAACGUAGGGAAACUUACGCUAAUACCGCAUACGACCUACGGGUGAAAGCAGGGGAUCUUCGGACCUUGCGCGAUUGAAUGAGCCGAUGUCGGAUUAGCUAGUUGGCGGGGUAAAGGCCCACCAAGGCGACGAUCCGUAGCUGGUCUGAGAGGAUGGUCAGCCACACUGGAAGUGAGACACGGUCCAGACUCCUACGGGGGGCAGCAGUGGGGAAUAUUGGACAAUGGGCGCAAGCCUGAUCCAGCCAUACCGCGUGGGUGAAGAAGGCCUUCGGGUUGUAAAGCCCUUUUGUUGGGAAAGAAAAGCAGCAGGUUAAUACCCCGCUGUUCUGACGGUACCCAAAGAAUAAGCACCGGCUAACUUCGUG
This 492-nucleotide ribosomal RNA is filed under the name uncultured bacterium. RNAcentral's name for it is "partial 16S ribosomal RNA". It matches the Rfam family "Bacterial small subunit ribosomal RNA", at positions 29 to 507 of the family's 1533-position model. The record is from RNAcentral.